Molecule: ribosomal RNA, 449 nt
Filed under: uncultured bacterium
Lineage: Bacteria
Description: partial 16S ribosomal RNA
Rfam family: Bacterial small subunit ribosomal RNA
Source: RNAcentral
AACGAACGCUGGCGGCAGGCCUAACACAUGCAAGUCGAGCGAGAUCUUCGGAUCUAGCGGCGGACGGGUGAGUAACGCGUGGGAAUAUGCCCUUUGGUACGGAAUAGCCUCGGGAAACUGAGAGUAAUACCGUAUGUGCCCUUCGGGGGAAAGAUUUAUCGCCAAAGGAUUAGCCCGCGUUGGAUUUGGUAGUUGGUGGGGUAAUGGCCUACCAAGCCUACGAUCCAUAGCUGGUUUGAGAGGAUGAUCAGCCACACUGGGACUGAGACACGGCCCAGACUCCUACGGGAGGCAGCAGUGGGGAAUCUUAGACAAUGGGGGAAAGCCUGAUCCAGCCAUGCCGCGUGAGUGAUGAAGGCCUUAGGGUUGUAAAGCUCUUUCAGUGGGGAAGAUAAUGACGGUACCCACAGAAGAAGCCCCGGCUAACUUCGUGCCAGCCGCCGCCGUAA